UUCUGCACAACUAGGUCAAGAAUGUAGAGUUUGCAAAUGAGUAUAUCAAAGAGACUCCCUCCUGUACUUAUGAAGGUAUUGAGUUGAGGUUUCACUGUUCCUGAAGUCUUUCUUCCCCCUGCCCAUGCUCCUGUUUCUUAUAUAUGACAUUAAGGAAGAAUCAUGGCAACACAUCUAAAACCUUCAAGUCUGGCCAUGGGAACACAGGAAGUAGAUAAUGUUGUACAGAUAUCAAAUGUGAAUAGAGAAAAGAAUUGUAUACUCCAUGUGGUCCUUUGCUUUAUUGAUGUUGGUAAUUUUUGAAUAACAUAAGGAUUUGGGAAUUUAUAAUUGAAGUAGGUACACCAUAUUUACACUGUUAUUCUCAGUCUAUAGAUGGGCCCACUUUGUUUCCAAAAUCAUAGCAGAGAAUGGAAUUUGAAAACAGAAUUUUUGAGUACAUAUUCAGGAAUAUUUAUAAUGUCCCCUAUGAAGGAAUGUACAAUAGGAAAGUGAAAUACAAUAUUCAUUCAACGAAAGGUGUGUAGGUAAAGUACUGGCCUUUAUAAAAUUAAGAAAACCUAGAAAAUUGAACUGUAUGUCACAGGAAUUGACCUGGGAAUAAAAAUAUUAUCCAGAAGAAUCUCCUCCACUCCAAGUUCCUAAAUAAUUUCUAUCCAUGCCAUGCCCCUGACUCAUUUUCUCCAUUCAGAAGUCACUAGCUUUAGAGAGAUGGAGAACGAAAGUUUCCACUGUGUCACAGGAGACAUACCUAAAUUGGCACCCUCAAAACUGGUUAAUGUAAGGAAAGCUGUUUAGAGUCAGGCCAUGGCAGUUCUCAGUGACAAUAUCAUUAGGCUCUCCCUGAAAAAUCUCUUGUAUCCUUGAGAGCACUAGCUUCUUCUGUGAUGUAAUAAGUGUUGUCCUGACUGCAAAUGCCUCUCAGAUAUUACUUCAGUACCUAUAGGUUUUACUAAUUGGCCUCAAAUUCAGGGGAAACAGUCAUUAGGGAGGGAGAACAAAGACGAUGAAGAAAUCAGAGAUGGGGAGAACGAAGCUGGUCUUCUGUCUUGGUAUAAAAGAAGGAAGAAAUACAUCAUCCCUGAGAAAUCUCACUGAAGCCUUGGUAGGAGUGGAAUAUAAAAACUCUCAAAACUCAUCCUGGCUGACAAUGUAGAUUAGACGCAUCAGAUGAAAUGAAUUGAAAAACUCUCCUGGGAAUGAAAGUGGUAAGGAAAUCACAUUGAUGUAUCCUAAAUGCAGUGCUAAGAGCAAUAUUCAGACUAGUCUGUGGAGAUGCUGCUGUCAUCAGAGACCACAGACAAUUAGUGGAGAAUGAUUCAGCAUUAAACUGGGAAUGGAAGAUGAUGGUUGAUAUUGUUCUAGUAGAUCUCACUACAUUAAAAA
This is a non-coding RNA of Rattus norvegicus (Norway rat), 1386 nucleotides long. The record is from RefSeq and is a predicted model, not a curated record. NCBI's taxonomy places the organism in Eukaryota, Metazoa, Chordata, Mammalia, Rodentia, Muridae.